Molecule: ribosomal RNA, 575 nt
Filed under: uncultured bacterium
Lineage: Bacteria
Description: partial 16S ribosomal RNA
Rfam family: Bacterial small subunit ribosomal RNA
Source: RNAcentral
UGGGGAAUUUUGGACAAUGGGCGAAAGCCUGAUCCAGCAAUGCCGCGUGUGUGAAGAAGGCCUUCGGGUUGUAAAGCACUUUUGUCCGGAAAGAAAUCCUUGGCUCUAAUACAGUCGGGGGAUGACGGUACCGGAAGAAUAAGCACCGGCUAACUACGUGCCAGCAGCCGCGGUAACACGUAGGGUGCAAGCGUUAAUCGGAAUUACUGGGCGUAAAGCGUGCGCAGGCGGUUUGCUAAGACCGAUGUGAAAUCCCCGGGCUCAACCUGGGAACUGCAUUGGUGACUGGCAGGCUAGAGUAUGGCAGAGGGGGGUAGAAUUCCACGUGUAGCAGUGAAAUGCGUAGAGAUGUGGAGGAAUACCGAUGGCGAAGGCAGCCCCCUGGGCCAAUACUGACGCUCAUGCACGAAAGCGUGGGGAGCAAACAGGAUUAGAUACCCUGGUAGUCCACGCCCUAAACGAUGUCAACUAGUUGUGGGGAUUCAUUUCCUUAGUAACGUAGCUAACGCGUGAAGUUGACCGCCUGGGGAGUACGGUCGCAAGAUUAAAACUCAAAGGAAUUGACGGGGUCCAUA